This 447-nucleotide long non-coding RNA is filed under the name Populus trichocarpa (black cottonwood). Its description in RNAcentral is "long non-coding RNA (PTRI_LNC002142)". Lineage: Eukaryota; Viridiplantae; Streptophyta; Magnoliopsida; Malpighiales; Salicaceae. The record is from RNAcentral.
GGGGAUUUGGUGCUGGAGCUGGUGCAUGAUGAUGCCUCUUGUGCUUGUGCUUGUGUUUUCUUUUCUUCUUGUGCUUGCCAGGAGCUGGAGCUGGGGAAAGCACUAAUGCUGGUGAUGGGGCUGGUGGUGGAAUAGCUGGUGCUGGUGCUGGAGUGGCUGGUGCUGGUGCUGGUGUUGGCGCUGGUGUUGCUGGUGCUGGUGCAGGUGCAGGUACUUCCUUAGCUGGUGAUGGUGAUGGUGUCUCUUUUGCAGGGGCUGGUGCUGGAGCUGGAGACACUCGUGGUGGAGGUAAGGAAGGCGGUGGUGUAGCUGGUGGUAAAGAAGGCGGUGGUGUAGCUGGUGGUGGUGGCAGUGCUGGUGUUUGUAUUGGAGCUGCAGUUGGAGGACUUUGCAGUGGUUGUGGAGGUGGAACUAUUGGGCUGGUAGCUGGUGCUACUUUAGGAGACG